Molecule: ribosomal RNA, 325 nt
Filed under: uncultured Alphaproteobacteria bacterium
Lineage: Bacteria; Pseudomonadati; Pseudomonadota; Alphaproteobacteria
Description: bacterial SSU rRNA
Rfam family: Bacterial small subunit ribosomal RNA
Source: RNAcentral
GAGUUUGAUCGUGGCUCAGAGCGAACGCUGGCGGCAGGCUUAACACAUGCAAGUCGAACGGCGUGUAGCAAUACACGAGUGGCGCAACGGGUGAGUAACACGUGGAUAUCUGCCUUUUGGUUCGGGAUAACCCUGGGAAACUAGGGCUAAUACCGGAUGGGUUCCUACGGGAUAAAGAUUUUAUCGCCAAAAAGAUGAGUCCGCGUUCCGAUUAGCUAGUUGGUGGGUAAUGGCCCACCAAGGCGACGAUCGGUAGCUGGUCUGAGAGGACGAUCAGCCACACUGGGACUGAGACACGGCCCAGACUCCUACGGGAGGCAGCAGU